GAUGAACGCUGGCGGCGUGCCUAAUACAUGCAAGUCGAGCGAACAGAUGAGGAGCUUGCUCCUCUGACGUUAGCGGCGGACGGGUGAGUAACACGUGGAUAACCUACCUAUAAGACUGGGAUAACUUCGGGAAACCGGAGCUAAUACCGGAUAAUAUAUUGAACCGCAUGGUUCAAUAGUGAAAGACGGUUUUGCUGUCACUUAUAGAUGGAUCCGCGCCGCAUUAGCUAGUUGGUAAGGUAACGGCUUACCAAGGCAACGAUGCGUAGCCGACCUGAGAGGGUGAUCGGCCACACUGGAACUGAGACACGGUACAGACUCCGACGGGAGGCAGCAGUAGGGAAUCUUCCGCAAUGGGCGAAAGCCGGACGGAGCAACGCCGCGUGAGUGAUGAAGGUCUUCGGAUCGUAAAACUCUGUUAGUAGGGAAGAACAAAAGUGUAAGUACCUAUGCACGUCUUGACGGUACCUAAUCAGAAAGCCACGGCUAACUACGUG
Molecule: ribosomal RNA, 497 nt
Filed under: uncultured bacterium
Lineage: Bacteria
Description: partial 16S ribosomal RNA
Rfam family: Bacterial small subunit ribosomal RNA
Source: RNAcentral